GAGUCUUUAGUAUAUUUUUAGUAUGCUUAAUGCAGAUUAGGUGGAUUUGUGGGCUUU
This 57-nucleotide transfer RNA is filed under the name Ascaris suum (pig roundworm). RNAcentral describes it as "tRNA-Cys". Lineage: Eukaryota; Metazoa; Nematoda; Chromadorea; Rhabditida; Ascarididae. The record is from RNAcentral.